CUGGGGGGAGCCCCAGGCUGGUGCAACACCACUGCUGGGACAAAGGGAGCUCCAGGCUCAGCUCUGGGGCUGCUGCACUCCAGCUCUUUUUCCUGCUGAUCCUGCAGUUUGGGGGGACGAUGACAGCUGCAUCGAGGAGGGCUCUGUUCUCUCAGGGAAGAUACACCGAAGUCCAGGACACAUUAUUCCUCUGUGAUCCCCACGCUGGAGGAAGCCAGGUGGAAGGAGGAAUAUCACCACUGUCUCCACACUCUCCCUGAACCUUUGCAUCACCCCUGGGAGGAGGAACCAGGCUGGGCUGCCUCUCUGCUCCUUCUCACCCGAGCCUCCUGCCCAUCCUCCCAGGAGUUGAUUAAUCCAUUAGGAUUAACCUCUCUUUAACUCCUUGAUUAGCUGCAUUUUAAAACUCCAUUUGUUUUCCUUUUUACAUCAAGCUGGAGCCGAAAAAAGACGGCAAUUUGCAGCAAUACCGAUUUAAUGCAAUUUCUGAAAAUCAGGGUGAACGUCGGGAAGCCGUGCUCGGCAUUUCAACUCCUCCCAGCAAGCCGCAAGAGGAGGCAGAUUUGGGAGGAACACUACAGAACCAGCAUCCACCUGAGUCCCCAGAGCUGGCUUCUGAUGGCAUUGGGGCAAACCUGAAAGAUGCAUUGUGGUUUCAAGGUGUCGUUGGGGAAACUGAGGCGAUUGUGAUGUCACGUGGGCUUUUUGGUCCCACAGGGACAGCCCAUCUCUCCACUGGAAACGUCCCUGAUUUCCCUGACCCGUGCGUGGUGGAAAUUGCUCGAGACAGGGCUUCUUGCUCUGAGGCAGGAUUGUGGUUUAGAUCCAUCCAGGUUUGAUUUGCCAGGUUUAGACCCAGUCCUGGGUUUAUCAAACCCGAGUUUAGUCCAUGCCCUAGGUGAGCUACCAGACCCCUCCAAAACCUGGGGGGUUUUUGAUGACAAAAACUUUGCUCGUCUGUGGCAGGGGUUUGGCUCGGUGUCAGCUCCAGCUUUUCUUAUGGGACCCUUCUUUGCCAUGCAGGAGCCAUGUGGGAAAAAUCACUAAUAUCUUAAAAAGUAAGCAAACCCUCUGGAUUUAGAGCAUUCUCAAAUGCCUGUCUGUCCCUUCCCAGUGUGUCCCAGUGGGAGAGAGUGAUUCCUCCAUCCUGGGGCUGAGGCUGUGGGUCACAGGCAGCAGUGGGGAUGUGGUGGGGGGAGCAGUGCUGUGGUAGUGGCAUGGUGGGGGCUCUUUGGACCCCUCUGUCCUGGUUUCACCCCGGCUCUGAGCCCUGUGCAGGAGUGGGCACUCACCCUCUGUCCCAUCCCUGCCAGGCACAGCUCAUCCCCUGGACAAACUGGCUGCUCCAGAGUUACUCCUGCUGUGUUUAUGUGAUUAUUAAGCUCUAAGGUGACUGACACCAAACACCCCGGCCUGUGUUAACCCUUUGAUUCAUUCCUGGGGCGCUUCCUCCGGCUGUGAAUCAGUGUUUGAGUCUGGAUGCUUUCAGAAGUGGCUGAGGCUCAGGGAGCUCAGCAAAGCCAAAGCUGAGAGCUGGGGCCUGGGGUGUCUUUCUCACCUGUCCGAGGGCUGGGAGUCUCCCUCAGGAGUGGGGUGAUGAAGAAAAUGCCUUCCCUCUCCUGUGGAGCUGGAUUUUUGGGGCUGUCUGCACAGAGCAGCUCUCCCUGCAGUUAUCUGGGGUGUCUAGGAAAGGCUGAGAGCAGCAGGGACAUCACUGAAUCCUUUCUCCCCUUCCAGAUUCCCCACUUGCAGGAUGUUUAUCAGGACUUUGGAGAUGUCUCUAAGGUUUUGGAGCAGUCCAAUGUGUUUCUAAGCUAUUUGGGGGUGCAUGAGUGGGAAAUACACAUCAUGAACACGCGUGCAACCGCCUGAAGCUCCAGUUGUUCAGGUGAGAUCUGCCUCCUUCCCAGCACUGAAGCAAAACAAGGCAGAACCAAGCAGAAAUUGGUACAAAAGCAAGCAGAGAGCUUUGCUUUGUAGGACUGCAGCUCCCAAAGCUGGGCCCCCCCUGCACGGGGAGUGUUGGAACAGGAAAAUUCUCUCAGGAGCCGUCUGGGAGCUGUCAAAAUAUAUCAUAGCUGCUGUUGAGGUUUAAAGAGCUUCACGCUGAUGCACAAUUUAGGGGAAGCAUCUUGCAUUUCCAUAGAUGUACAACAAGAUUUUCCAAAAUUGCAGUGAUAUGAGAAAACGUCUUUUAAAGUGGCACCCAGAUGGCGGGAGGAAAUUGUGCUGUUUGAAUUCUCCUCAGAUAAAUCGAUGUUAAAGGGAUGUUAAACAUUUUAUAGGUUUUUCCUCCCCCCGCUUCCACCACCUGCUACUGAAAUGGCAUAAGAGGAGCUAUCAAACAGUGAGAUCUUACAGCACACAGCUUGGGAAAUGGCUUCAUCUGUGGGCAUUUAACACCCAGAGAUUCCAAAGCCAGCAGGGUCAGGCCAGGGGAAGCUGCCGUUUGGGACAGGAAUUUCUGGAGGUGUUGCCCAAACCCAUUUCUAACAAAGGAGCCACAGGCAAACCUGGGGUGUCGGGGCUCAGCCUCGGGGGUUGUGGUGUGAGUGCGGUGCCAUGUCCCGUGUCUGGAGCUGUACUUCUCCUUGGAAAGCCACCUCCUGCAGGGUGCAGAGACCCUCAAAUGCACCAAGGGAGCAUUUGGCUGUAAAUCCCCCUAAUUCCAGCCAUGCCCAGAGCUGUUCUGCCUUAGGGACAAGCUCUCCGUGCCUCUUCGAGGCUGUCCCCAGCAGCAGGCGUUUCCCUCGCAGGUGCUUUUUGUUUUCCUGCUCCUUGGCACUCACAGGCGAGCAGCAUUUUCGCUCCUGAGCUAAAUAUGUCACUUUGUCUGGUAGCGGCUGCCAGGCUUUAAAGCGCUGGCACCUCGUGGAAGCACCCGGAGGACAAAUGCCAAUGAUUACACACCGUCCUUACUCAAGGAGAAGGAAGUGGGCUUUGCGGCUCCUUGUUUUUGUUUUGAAAGUAAAACGAGCCUGUUUACCUGGCUGUUUACUUAAGCCGUGUGAGUCACAGCCCAGGAAACGUGUGCGGACAGGUUUGUCCCCUCGGACGGGUCCCACUUCCCGGGGAUGGGCUCAGGGGACACCGUGAGCAAGAGCAGCAAAUAUUCCCCUUGGUUGUGUUCGUCCCGGGGGAACGUGCUGGGGAUGACAGGGGAGCAGCGCUGGCAUUCCCGGGAAGCCUCUUCCCUGUCCUUCGCUGCCUCCCUUGUGCCGGUGGACACCAGUGGCAGGGAAGGGUCGGUGAUGGGCAGCACCUGCACCCACAGCCGGGUCAGAAGCUGCUGCUUCGAGCUCCAUCCUGGCUGGUCCCCCUGGGGCAGCCCUGCCUCCAGCCCACCUCAGGGCAAGCUAUUUUUACAUGCUCCUUUUAAAAUUCUUUCCAGCGUUGUCGGAUUCAUCCCAGCAGAUGGGUCCAUCAGCAGGCAGGGUGAUGCUCCCCGUGGUGGUGAGGUGGCUUUGUGCUUAGCACCAGAGGGAGGUCACUGCCUGGGCAUGUGGUUGUGGGUUUUUUCAGUGUGCUUCCCAGCUGGGAUCUGGCUUAGAUUUUGGGAGAAGAGACCCCGGGCAAGAUCCCAGGAGCUUUUUCAAAGGGCUGAGCCUGCAAGGAGCACCUGCUCAUCACCAGCGUGGGCUUCCCGACUCCCAGCAGAGCUGCAGAAGCCACGGCGGCUGGGGCUGGGUAUUUUUAAACAAUCUUGGCCGGGCAGGCUCUGCCGGAGCGCUGCUUUUUCCUGUUAUCUCCUCCUGCAAUCACGGAGCGAUUUGGAGCCAGCCGUCGUGCGGCUCAGCUCCCGCAGCUCGGGGGUGCGCAGCUCCCAGCGCUGCCUCGCUUAUCACAGCGUGGGACGCUCGGCAAAUAUCCCAAUCUUUGCUCCAAAUUGCUCCUAACGCCAGGUUAUUUUAGGGGGGAGUGCUGUGUUAUCUAUUAUACCCGCAAACCCAGAUAAUAAUAGUAAUACCCUGUGGCGGAGCGCUGUUAAUGCACCGAGGCUGUCGCUUGUCUCCGAGAGUGCUGCGUGCGGCAGAGUGUUCGAAAGAGUCCCAGCAAGGCCGGCAGCAGCCAGGGAGCACAGCCCGCAGAGGAUGUUCUGUAGCGCUCAGCGCUGCUCCCUGGCUGCUGCAGCCCCGGUGCAGCGAUGUCCUGGCGUGCUGCGGCUUGUAGGGACACCGAGAGCACGGCCCCGGGGCUCGGGA
Molecule: long non-coding RNA, 4202 nt
Organism: Hirundo rustica (Barn swallow)
Lineage: Eukaryota; Metazoa; Chordata; Aves; Passeriformes; Hirundinidae
Exons: 2
Source: RefSeq, a predicted model, not a curated record